UACAGAGGGUGCAAGCGUUGUUCGGAAUUACUGGGCGUAAAGCGCGUGUAGGCGGCUUUGCAAGUCGGGUGUGAAAGCCCUCAGCUCAACUGAGGAAGUGCGCCCGAAACUGCAGAGCUUGAGUGCCGGAGAGGGUGGCGGAAUUCCCCAAGUAGAGGUGAAAUUCGUAGAUAUGGGGAGGAACACCGGUGGCGAAGGCGGCCACCUGGACGGUAACUGACGCUGAGACGCGAAAGCGUGGGGAGCAAACAGG
RNAcentral lists this ribosomal RNA (253 nucleotides) under uncultured bacterium. RNAcentral's name for it is "partial 16S ribosomal RNA". It matches the Rfam family "Bacterial small subunit ribosomal RNA", at positions 524 to 776 of the family's 1533-position model. The record is from RNAcentral.